This 253-nucleotide ribosomal RNA is filed under the name uncultured bacterium. RNAcentral's name for it is "partial 16S ribosomal RNA". It matches the Rfam family "Bacterial small subunit ribosomal RNA", at positions 524 to 776 of the family's 1533-position model. The record is from RNAcentral.
UACGAAGGGUGCAAGCGCUAAUCGGAAUUACUGGGCGUAAAGCGCGCGUAGGUGGUUCAGUCAGUUGGAAGUGAAAUCCCCGGGCUCAACCUGGGAACUGCUUUCAAAACUGCUGAGCUAGAGUACGGUAGAGGGUGGUGGAAUUUCCUGUGUAGCGGUGAAAUGCGUAGAUAUAGGAAGGAACACCAGUGGCGAAGGCGACCACCUGGACUGAUACUGACACUGAGGUGCGAAAGCGUGGGGAGCAAACAGG